RNAcentral lists this ribosomal RNA (300 nucleotides) under uncultured bacterium. RNAcentral's name for it is "bacterial SSU rRNA". It matches the Rfam family "Bacterial small subunit ribosomal RNA", at positions 496 to 795 of the family's 1533-position model. The record is from RNAcentral.
GGCAACUCGGGGGCCGCAGGCCGCGGGAAACCGGAGGGUGCAGGUGUUAAUCGGGUUUCCUGGGCGGAAGGCGGGUGUAGGUGGCUUCCUAAGUCGGUUGUGAAAUCCCUGGGCUCAACCUGGGAAUUGCAGUCGAUACUGGGAAGCUCGAGGUCGGUAGAGGACGGCGGAAUUCCCGGUGUAGCGGUGAAAUGCGUAGAUAUCGGGAGGAACAUCGAUGGCGAAAGCAACCGUCUGGGCCUGAACUGACACUGAGACACGAAAGCGUGGGGAGCAAACAGGAUUAGAUACCCGGGAGUC